This 70-nucleotide transfer RNA is filed under the name Harpadon microchir. RNAcentral's name for it is "tRNA-Tyr". It matches the Rfam family "tRNA". Rfam says of the family: Transfer RNA (tRNA) molecules are approximately 80 nucleotides in length. Their secondary structure includes four short double-helical elements and three loops (D, anti-codon, and T loops). Lineage: Eukaryota; Metazoa; Chordata; Actinopteri; Aulopiformes; Synodontidae. The record is from RNAcentral.
GGUACGGUGGCUGAGGUUCAAGCGGUGGAUUGUAGCUCCACAAACAGAGGUUUGAGUCCUCUCCGUGUCA